Molecule: ribosomal RNA, 229 nt
Filed under: uncultured bacterium
Lineage: Bacteria
Description: partial 16S ribosomal RNA
Rfam family: Bacterial small subunit ribosomal RNA
Source: RNAcentral
CGGGGUGAGUAAUGUAUGGGGAUCUGCCUGAUGGCGGGGGAUAACUACUGGAAACGGUAGCUAAUACCGCAUAAUGUCUACGGACCAAAGCGGGGGACCUCCGGGCCUCGCGCCAUCAGAUGAACCCAUAUGGGAUUAGCUAGUAGGUGAGGUAACGGCUUACCUAGGCGACGAUCCCUAGCUGGUCUGAGAGGAUGAUCAGCCACACUGGAACUGAGACACGGUCCAG